CACGUAGGCGGCCUGGUAAGUCAGAUGUGAAAGCCCGGGGCUUAACCCCGGAAGUGCAUUUGAUACGGUCAGGCUUGAGUAUGGGAGAGGGAAGUGGAAUUCCUGGUGUAGAGGUGAAAUUCGUAGAUAUCAGGAGGAACACCGGUGGCGAAGGCGACUUCCUGGACCAAUACUGACGCUGAGGUGCGAAGGCGUGGGUAGCAAACAGGAUUAGAUACCCUGGUAGUCC
Molecule: ribosomal RNA, 229 nt
Filed under: uncultured bacterium
Lineage: Bacteria
Description: partial 16S ribosomal RNA
Rfam family: Bacterial small subunit ribosomal RNA
Source: RNAcentral